RNAcentral lists this ribosomal RNA (491 nucleotides) under Megarthrus sp. QH33. RNAcentral describes it as "partial large subunit ribosomal RNA". It matches the Rfam family "Bacterial large subunit ribosomal RNA", at positions 1858 to 2605 of the family's 2925-position model. Lineage: Eukaryota; Metazoa; Arthropoda; Insecta; Coleoptera; Staphylinidae. The record is from RNAcentral.
CCUGCCCCCUGAAUUAAAUUUUAAAUGGCCGCAGUAUUUUGACUGUGCAAAGGUAGCAUAAUCAUUAGUUUUUUAAUUAAAAGCUGGAAUGAAGGGUUGAACGAGGAAAAAGCUGUCUCAAUAUUAGUAUUAGAAUUUUAUUUUUAAGUUAAAAAGCUUAAAUUAAUUUAAAAGACGAGAAGACCCUGUAGAGUUUUAUAUUUAGUUUAUUUUUAAUUUUUAGGAAAUUUAAUUAUUUGAAGUAUUUUAAAUAUUUUAUUGGGGUGAUAGAAAAAUUUAAUAAACUUUUUUUUUAUAAAGACAUUUAUUUAUGAAUAUUUGAUCCUUUUUUUUUGAUUAUAAGAUUUAAUUACCUCAGGGAUAACAGCGUAAUUUUUUCUAAGAGUUCAUAUUAAAGAAAAAGAUUGCGACCUCGAUGUUGGAUUAAAAUUAAUUUUGGUGUAAAAGCUAAAGUCUUUAGGUCUGUUCGACCUUUAAAAUUUUACAUGAUC